AAUAAUAUAUGAUUAUCAUCGGAAUAAUUCUAUUUAUUUAACUUAAAGAAUUCUUCAAUUGUUAGUCCAGCUUCCCUGAUUAUUGCU
Molecule: small nucleolar RNA, 87 nt
Filed under: Ferroplasma acidiphilum
Lineage: Archaea; Methanobacteriati; Thermoplasmatota; Thermoplasmata; Thermoplasmatales; Ferroplasmaceae
Description: C/D box methylation guide snoRNA
Source: RNAcentral